UUGCCGUUGAUAUCUACGGCUCGUCUGAAAUGCUUCAGUGUACCCCGCAAAGCGGCGUAUUCGGUGUGAUACAUCUUCACCGGAGUUGAUCCUUUAUUGGGUCGCGUCUGUAAUGUGUGGCUCUAUGCUUCAAACCGUCUUGAUAGGACAAUAUUUGACAAUUCGACCUCAAAUCGGGUGGGACUACCCGCUGAACUUAA
RNAcentral lists this unclassified non-coding RNA (200 nucleotides) under soil metagenome. RNAcentral describes it as "partial contains internal transcribed spacer 2 and large subunit ribosomal RNA". The record is from RNAcentral.